UCCGGUUUGGCACCGGCAGUCUCCUUAGAGUUCCCGGCUUUACCCGCUGGCAACUAAGGACAGGGGUUGCGCUCGUUGCGCCACUUAAGGCAACACCUCACGGCACGAGCUGACGACAGCCAUGCACCACCUGUGCGGGCCCCGAAGGGCACCGUGUUUCCACGGCUUCAACCCGCAUGUCAAGCCCUGGUAAGGUUCUUCGCGUUGCGUCGAAUUAAGCCACAUGCUCCGCCGCUUGUGCGGGUCUCCGUCAAUUCCUUUGAGUUUUAGCCUUGCGGCCGUACUCCUUAGGCGGGGUGCUUAAUGCGUUAGCUUCGGCACGGAAGGGGUCGAUAUCUUUCUACACCUAGUACCCGACGUUUACGGCUAGGACUAC
RNAcentral lists this unclassified non-coding RNA (376 nucleotides) under uncultured Actinomycetes bacterium. RNAcentral describes it as "uncultured actinobacterium contains 16S-23S intergenic spacer region". The record is from RNAcentral. Lineage: Bacteria; Bacillati; Actinomycetota; Actinomycetes.